UAUUGAUAAAAUUGUUUUAUAUAUAUUUGUUUUAAUUAAUUUUGAUUAAAUAAAUUUAAGUUAUUGUAGAAUAAAUUGAUUAAAUUAUUUUUACUAUAGUGAAUUAGUACUGUGAAGGAAAUUUAUAAAUAUAAGUUUAUAAUUAAUAAAAGGUAAUUUUAUUUAUUGUAUCUUGUGUAUCAGAGUAUAUUUAAAUAGAUUAUAAAGUUUUUUUUUCUCGAAUUUAAAAGAUUUAAUUGAAAAUAUUAUUUAUUGUUGCAUAAUUAUUAAUAAUUUUUAAUUGGUAAUGAAAUGUUAUUCGUUUUUAAGGAUAUCUAGUUUUUUAAUAAAUGAAUUUAAUUCAGAAGGUAUAAUUUAUUAAAUAAUUUAUUAUUUGGAUAUUUUAUAUUUUUAAUUUUAAGAGGGAUAAACUUUUUGAAAUAUAAUUAUAAUAAUAUUAAAUGAAAAGGAUUUUAUAAAUUUAGAAUUUGUUUAUGAUUAAAGGAUGUUAAAAUUUAAUUCUUUAUUUAAAUGAUUUUAGAUUUUUAUUUAAUUUUUAUAUUAAAAUGUUGAUUUUAAUUAAGAAAUUUUAGAAAAUAUGAUUUAAUUAGUAAAAUUAUAAUUUAUUUUGUUAAAUUAAUUGUUGUGUUAAUAUGAAGAAUUAAGCAAAAAAUUUUGCUCACCUGUUUAUUAAAAACAUGGUUUCUUGUAUUUAUUUAAGAGAUUUGACCUGCCCACUGAAUAAAUUUUGAAGGGCCGCAGUAUAUUGACUGUGCAAAGGUAGCAUAAUCAUUAGUCUUUUAAUUGAAGGCUGGUAUGAAUGGUUGGAUGAGGUGAAUUCUGUUUUAUAUUAAUUUGUAUUGAAUUUAGAUUUUAAGUAAAAAGACUUAAAUAAUAUUAAGGGACGAGAAGACCCUAUAGAGUUUAAUAAAUAUAUUAAUUAAUUAAGUUAAAAAUAUAAUUUUUGAUUAUUAAAAAAAUUUAUUUAGUUGGGGUGAUUAGAAGAUAAAUUUAACUCUUCUUUAUUUUUAAUAACAUAAUUAGUUAUUUGAUCCAUAUUUAAUGAUUAAAAGAUUAAAUUACCUUAGGGAUAACAGCAUAAUUCUUUUUGAGAGUUCAUAUCGAAAAAGGAGAUUGUGACCUCGAUGUUGGAUUAAGAUUAAUUUUGGGUGUAGAUGUUCAAUAAUUGGGUCUGUUCGACCUUUAAAAUCUUACAUGAUCUGAGUUUAAACCGGCGUGAGCCAGGUUGGUUUCUAUCUUUAAUUGAUUUAAAUAUUUUAGUACGAGAGGACCAAAUAUUUAAAAUAAUUUUGUUUUUAAGGAAUACUAUUAAUUGA
Molecule: ribosomal RNA, 1316 nt
Filed under: unidentified
Description: Hierodula sp. 16S ribosomal RNA
Rfam family: Archaeal large subunit ribosomal RNA (bases 1069-1227)
Source: RNAcentral